This 1043-nucleotide long non-coding RNA is filed under the name Ananas comosus (pineapple). RNAcentral's name for it is "long non-coding RNA (ACOM_LNC000452)". Lineage: Eukaryota; Viridiplantae; Streptophyta; Magnoliopsida; Poales; Bromeliaceae. The record is from RNAcentral.
CGAUCACGUGUAUUUAGGGAUGUAAAUGGAUAUGGAUAUCCGAAUUUUAUCCGAAUCCAAACCCGAACGAAGCGGAUUUUACCUGAUGUAAAUGGAUAUGGAUUCGGAUAUGGAUAUAUAUAUAAAAAAAAUCUGACGGAUUCAAGUUCGGAUAUGAAUAUUUUUAAAAAACCCGAACCCGAACCCGAACCCGAAUCCGAACCCGACCCGAACCCGAACAAAUUUAAUAUGAUAUAAUAUAUAGAAAAAAAUUCAAGCUAUUAGAUCUGAAUGUAAAAGCCGUUAGAUCAAAAUCUAACGGCUAAUAUUCCAUCAACUUUUAACUUUCCCUCUUCCUAACCCUAAUUCCUCUUUCCUUUUUCCUUUCACACUUCACGCACACAGCCACCCUUCCUGUCUACGCAACAGCGCCCGAACUCGAAGAGCCCCCCGGCAACGCCUCCUCCAACUUCGUUGUUCGCACACUACCGGCAGCGCCUUCUCCAACUUCGCCGUUCGCACACUCCCGGCAGCGCCUCCUCCAACUUCACCGUUCGUACACUGCCGGCAGCGCAUUCUUUGUUGUUCUCAUAUCCCCAUGGGACUCUGGCAGCGGCGCUUUGAGCAGAUUCGUUCUUCGUCUUCCAUUGAUCUUCAUCUUCUUCUUUUUUUUUUCCCCCUUUUUCUUAUGAUUUUUUUGAGCAGAAUGUGAGGGAUUUUCUUUAUCGUAUCGAGUUCAGGAUUUUGAGUUCGGGUUCGGGUUUUGGAUUUUUGCUCGGGUUCGGAUUUGGAUAUGGAGUUUUAAAAUUCAUCGGGUUCGGUUUCGGGUUCGGAUUUGAUAGUCGGGUUCGGUUCGGGUUUUAAAAAACUCGCCCCGAAUCCGACCCGUUGACAUCCCCAAUCUCUUCGUAGAGGAAAAAAAAAAUAAGAGAAAAAAAGAAAAGAGAAAAAGAAUAAAGAUAUUUUGGUCAUUUUUUUAAAAUUCGAAACUUUUCUGUAAAAUUGAAAAAAACGAUCUAGUUUUGUAAAAACUUAAAAUCUGUAGAUUUUUUUAUACAAAUUGG